RNAcentral lists this long non-coding RNA (352 nucleotides) under Brassica rapa (field mustard). RNAcentral describes it as "long non-coding RNA (BRAP_LNC007372)". The record is from RNAcentral. Lineage: Eukaryota; Viridiplantae; Streptophyta; Magnoliopsida; Brassicales; Brassicaceae.
AAGAAAGCAGUGAUGUUGAGAGAAGAGCAGCAGCUGCUGUGGCUUCAACUUUGGAAUCUGAGGAAGCAGACAAUGGAGGAGGUUACAGUGCUCGUAGCCUCAUGAAGAGUUCGAGCAUCAGUGGUUCUAAAUGCAUCGGUGUCCAAUCUAAAACCGACAAAGAGGUUAGUUAGUUAGUUAGUUAGUGGAGUUAAAAAAACAGAGGAUCUUGAAAGGAACAUGGAGAUGGAGUUUGCUUACUUACUGUUGUUUCUGUUCUGUGUUGUAGGACACCAUAGCUGAGGAAGGAGAUGAUGAAUCAGUGGCGGAGCUUACUGAUAGAGUUGCUUCUCUUCGUAAUUCUUAAAACGUU